GCCGGGCAUGGUGGCUCAUGCCUGUAAUCCCAGCAUUUUGGGAGGCCGAGGUGGGUGGAUCAUCUGAGGUCAGGAGUUUGAGACCAGCCUGGCCAACAUGGUGAAACCCCAUCUCUA
Unclassified non-coding RNA from Macaca fascicularis (crab-eating macaque), 117 nucleotides. It matches the Rfam family "Metazoan signal recognition particle RNA". Rfam says of the family: The signal recognition particle (SRP) is a universally conserved ribonucleoprotein. Lineage: Eukaryota; Metazoa; Chordata; Mammalia; Primates; Cercopithecidae. The record is from Ensembl.